GCUGCAAGGAAGGGUCAGCCGCUCAGCGGACUAAGCCACCCAGGCACGCCUUUGCUGGCGGCUUCUGAAGGCAGCGAUGGUGGACUGGAAUGGAUUCAAGGCUGAGUUACCGUUUCCUACCCGUGCGAAUGAGGCACUUAGAUUCCUCUCACCUCCGUGAAUGGAGGAGGACAGGGUUUUGGGAAAGAUCCAUUAGAUAAUAUGGGUUAAGAAUGCCUAUAAACCGUGAAGUGCUACGGAGAUUUGAGGUGCUAUGGAAGGGCCCUGGGGAACUGAGUUUGAUUGAGCUGUUUCCGGGCGUCCGGGAUGGAGCUCGAGUUCUUUCCUCCCAUCGAAGACAGGGAAAGAAACAUGGGAACAGCAUGGUAGGCGCGCUUCAACCUGGGAGCGGGCUGGUGACCUUGGGCAAGUCACUGAGCCUCUCUGAGCCUCCAGGCUCUCACGCACGCAGUGGUGGUAACCGUGACGUGUCAGCGCGGGGCCGCUGGGAGAAUGCAGCAAGCUGGUGGAGUGCUUUGCACUGUCCUGGCCUUAGCAUCACCGUUACCCUAGUGAAUCCUCACGACCUUCCUGCUUUAUAGUCGAGGGAACAGACUGUGAUUAAGUGACUUGCCCAAGGUCACCAGCUGGUAGGGGCUAAGUGACACUCAGUUCAUGUCUGUGGACCCUGAAGCCUGUGUCCUUUCCACGGCAGCGCAUGGCCUCUGCCCACAGCCCGGGUGCCUGGGCUCUCUGAGCCUCUCCUUGCCACGUCUAACCGGCCUGAGUUGUCCUAGGGCGCAGUUGUCCCAUGGCAUCUUCAGGACCAGAGAACUAGCGCUCCGUGGCUCUCUCUCCCUCCUGCCUUUCAGGCUUCCAGAGAGGAAAGAAGCCGACGUGGGCUGCUCUGCUUGCGCCACCCGAAGUCAGCUUCUCCACCAACAUCCCAGCUUCUUCCCACGGCAGCCAGCGCCUAGAGCUUCCACGUGGAGUCCCUGUCGGCAGAGGCCAGGGAACUCAGGACCAGGUCCCCAGCUGUGCAGAUCACGCCAAGCCGAAAGCGGCUUGCUCAGGCCAACACCUGGGUUUGCACCCUGGCCCUGCCUCUGACCAUCUCUGUGACCAGGGACCGCCGCCAGCCUCCAUGUCCUCACUCGUUACACCCCGUGGUGAUAGUACAUAAUCUCUACUUCCCAGGGUUGUCCCGGGGCACCGAGUGGGGCCCGGCUAACAGUCCGCACCCCGUCAACAACAGGUUUCGUUACUGGGCUGAUCUGCAAGGGGUGUGGCCCAGGCGGCGGCUCUGUGGAGGACGCCUGUGGACACAUCCUGGGAACCCCAUGGCAUCCCCCGUGAUUCCCGGAUUCUACUCCGGUGGGCCCCGAAGUGGAAACACGAGCUUAUCCCAGACAGCCUUCUCAGAGCAGCUCCUGCAAGCUGUGUGUCCCCCGGCCCAGUGCGCCCCCGGCCCGCUGCCCAUCCCCACAGCACUGAUGGCAGGCCAACCUGCUUCCCGCAUGUGUGUGUCCACCCUCGCCCAGCCCAACGGGGGCUCCUACAGAAGGGGCUGAAGAGUUGGCUUUCCGGACACACUGGGAUGUCAGCCAGGCUUGUGAGGACUCCUGGGACAGCCUCCCCUCCCUCCUGCACGGGCAGAACCUGGGUCUGUCUUCCUAGUCCCUGGCUCUGUGCCCAGCCUGUACAGGUUUAAUAAAUGUGUGUAGACAAGAACUGAGUUCA
Long non-coding RNA from Ursus maritimus (polar bear), 1719 nucleotides. The record is from Ensembl. Lineage: Eukaryota; Metazoa; Chordata; Mammalia; Carnivora; Ursidae.